CAACGAUCCAGCGUCGAGGAGCUCUCAGCCACACUGUUUUGAAGCUCCUCUGACGAGGCUUGAUCGGCGCCAGGUGUGUGUGGAUUCCUGGGUGGGACCGGUCAGCUGGCAGGGCCACACCCACCAGGCGGGGGGUCCCGGACGGAGGGCCCCAAAACCCCAGUUCAAAUGUCCAACCACUGCCAUGGUGGGAACAACAGUUCUUGCGGCCGACCCAGUGGACCGCAAGCAGGCAAAACUCGCUACGGGUCAGGCAGUGGUGGGAAAACAGUUCGGGCGGCCUACCUCCAACCCCAUGAUGGAAGCGGAACGCUUCAGGCGGCCUGCCACGGAUCCGGUGGCGGCGGCGCUGCUCCUCCGGCGGCCUGCCACGGGUCCGGUGGCGGCGGAACGGUUCUGGUGGCCUGCCACGGGUCCGGUGGCGGCGGCGCUGCUCCUCCGGCGGCCUGCCACGGGUCCGGUGGCGGCGGAACGGUUCUGGUGGCCUGCCACGGGUCCGAUGGCAACGUCGCUGCUCCGGUGAGCAACAGCGAGGCGUGGCACAUGGUCUAUGACGCGCCGGUCGCUGACGUGGACGCACUGGACGUGGAUGGCGUGGAGGCCGCGCAAGACGUGGAGGUCCCUCCGGUUCGCUGACCUCCGGCUGAGCGGGUCCCUCCUCGGCUGGCAGCGAGAGCCCCUCCUUGGCUGGCAGCGAGAGCCCCUCCGCGGCUGGCAGCGAGAGCCCCUCCGCGGCUGGCAGCGCCGGUUGUUCCUUCCGCUCGCCGAGCUCGUCUGCUGGUGGCUCGCUGAGCUCGUCUGCUGGUGGCUCGCUGAGCUCGUCUGCUGGUGGCUCGCUGAGCUCCUCUGCUGGUGGCUCGCUGAGCUCCUCCGGCUCGCUGAGCUCCUCCGGCUCGCUGAGCUCCUCCGGCUCGGGCAUGCUGAGCUCCUCCGGCUCGCUGAGCUGCUCCCGCUCGCUGAGCUGCUCCCGCUCGCUGAGCUGCUCCUGCUCGGGCAUGCUGAGCUCCUCCGGCUCGCUGAGCUCCACAGCUGGUGACGCGGGCUCCUCCCGCUCGCUGAGCUCCUGCUCGGGCAUGCUGAGCUCCUCCGGCUCGCUGAGCUCCUCCGGCUCGGGCAUGCUGAGCUCCACAGCUGGCGACGCGGGCUCCUCCCGCUCGCUGAGCGCCCGCUCGCUGAGCUCCCGCUCGCCCGCUCGCUGAGCUCCC
This is a long non-coding RNA of Astatotilapia calliptera (eastern happy), 1205 nucleotides long. The record is from Ensembl. NCBI's taxonomy places the organism in Eukaryota, Metazoa, Chordata, Actinopteri, Cichliformes, Cichlidae.